GGAAGUAUAAGUCGUAACAAGGUUUCCGUAGGUGAACCUGCGGAAGGAUCAUUAAUGAGUUGUCAUGGGGUUCGAUGCUGGCAGCCAAUUUUUGGAUGCAUGUGCUUGCCCUAACAAUCAUCUUCCAAACACCUGUGCACAUUUUUGAGGGAGUCUUGAGUCGGUUGCCGCUCUUGGGUGAUUUUCUCACAUUCCCUUAAAUCAUUAUACGCUAUUAACAAUGUUGAACGUGCUCUGUGCCGCAAGGCUAUUAAUAUAAUACAACUUUUAACAACGGAUCUCUUGGCUCUC
Molecule: unclassified non-coding RNA, 291 nt
Filed under: plant metagenome
Description: partial contains small subunit ribosomal RNA, internal transcribed spacer 1, and 5.8S ribosomal RNA
Rfam family: Eukaryotic small subunit ribosomal RNA (bases 1-54)
Source: RNAcentral